ACAGCAGUCGCCGCGGUAAUACGAGGGGAGCUAGCGUUAUUCGGAAUUACUGGGCGUAAAGCGCACGUAGGCGGCUUUGUAAGUUAGAGGUGAAAGCCCAGAGCUCAACUCUGGAAUUGCCUUUAAGACUGCAUCGCUUGAAUCCAGGAGAGGUGAGUGGAAUUCCGAGUGUAGAGGUGAAAUUCGUAGAUAUUCGGAAGAACACCAGUGGCGAAGGCGGCUCACUGGACUGGUAUUGACGCUGAGGUGCGAAAGCGUGGGGAGCAAACAGGAUUAGAUACCCCCGUAGUCCCUGUCUCUUAUAU
This 305-nucleotide ribosomal RNA is filed under the name uncultured bacterium. RNAcentral describes it as "partial 16S ribosomal RNA". It matches the Rfam family "Bacterial small subunit ribosomal RNA", at positions 508 to 809 of the family's 1533-position model. The record is from RNAcentral.